RNAcentral lists this ribosomal RNA (300 nucleotides) under uncultured Lactobacillus sp. RNAcentral describes it as "bacterial SSU rRNA". It matches the Rfam family "Bacterial small subunit ribosomal RNA", at positions 495 to 795 of the family's 1533-position model. Lineage: Bacteria; Bacillati; Bacillota; Bacilli; Lactobacillales; Lactobacillaceae. The record is from RNAcentral.
GGCAAUCCGUUGCAGGCCGCCGCGUGAGUGCAGAGGGUGUAAGGGGUAAUCGGCAUUAUUGGGCGUAAAGCGCGCGUAGGUGGUGCGUUAAGGUGGAUGUGAAAUCACCGGGCGCAACCUGGGAAUUGCAUCCAAAACUGGCGAGCUAGAGUAGGGCAGAGGGGGGUGGAAUUGCCUGUGUAGCGGUGAAAUGCGUAGAUAUAGGAAGGAACACCAGUGGCGAAGGCGACCACCUGGGCUCAUACUGACACUGAGGUGCGAAAGCGUGGGGAGCAAACAGGAUUAGAUACCCCUGUAGUC